This is a long non-coding RNA of Lotus japonicus, 321 nucleotides long. RefSeq lists it as uncharacterized. The transcript has 4 exons. The record is from RefSeq and is a predicted model, not a curated record. Lineage: Eukaryota; Viridiplantae; Streptophyta; Magnoliopsida; Fabales; Fabaceae.
UGACAACUCACUUGAUUGGUUUGUUUUACCCAACACAAAUACACAUGAACGUUUUUCUAUCCCCAAUGAGAGUAUUUUGGAUAGCUGCUACUCUUCAAAUUCCUAUUCCUCUGAUCGAUUUGCAGGUGAUGUUGCGGCGCUUGGUAUCAUCAGAGCUGGGAUAUUAAUGAAAGCUAAAACUGUUUUAAAUCCACGAGUUCAUUUGCUAUGUUCCCUAUCAUAUUGAAGGUCAGCCUUCCUACCUAAUUAUUGCCGAUUUAGUGUUCACAUCCCUCUCAGAGCCAUUGAUUGAGGAGGAAAGUGAAGACCAUAUGCGGGUAA